CCUACGGGCGACUGCAGUGAGGAAUAUUGGUCAAUGGACGAGAGUCUGAACCAGCCAAGUAGCGUGAAGGAUGACUGCCCUAUGGGUUGUAAACUUCUUUUAUAUGGGAAUAAAAUGUUCCACGUGUGGGAUUUUGUAUGUACCAUAUGAAUAAGGAUCGGCUAACUCCGUGCCAGCAGCCGCGGUAAUACGGAGGAUCCGAGCGUUAUCCGGAUUUAUUGGGUUUAAAGGGAGCGUAGGUGGAUUGUUAAGUCAGUUGUGAAAGUUUGCGGCUCAACCGUAAAAUUGCAGUUGAAACUGGCAGUCUUGAGUACGGUAGAGGUGGGCGGAAUUCGUGGUGUAGCGGUGAAAUGCUUAGAUAUCACGAAGAACUCCGAUUGCGAAGGCAGUUCACUGGACUGCAACUGACACUGAGGCUCGAAAGUGUGGGUAUCAAACAGGAUUAGAUACCCCUGUAGUC
RNAcentral lists this ribosomal RNA (460 nucleotides) under uncultured bacterium. RNAcentral describes it as "partial 16S ribosomal RNA". It matches the Rfam family "Bacterial small subunit ribosomal RNA", at positions 338 to 795 of the family's 1533-position model. The record is from RNAcentral.